UUGUCCUCGGGAGGCAGCAGUAGGGAAUUUUCGUCAAUGGGCGCAAGCCUGAACGAGCAAUGCCGCGUGAACGAGGAAGGCCUUCGGAUCGUAAAGUUCUGUUGAAGGGGAAAAAGAGCGGAGAGAGGAAAUGAACUCCGAUUGAUAUUACCCUUCGAGGAAGUCACGGCUAACUACGUGCCAGCAGCCGCGGUAAUACGUAGGUGGCGAGCGUUAUCCGGAAUGAUUGGGCGUAAAGGGUGCGUAGGCGGCCUGCUAAGUCUGGAGUGAAAGGUACCGGCUCAACCGGUACAGGCUCUGGAAAC
RNAcentral lists this ribosomal RNA (305 nucleotides) under uncultured bacterium. RNAcentral describes it as "bacterial SSU rRNA". It matches the Rfam family "Bacterial small subunit ribosomal RNA", at positions 334 to 633 of the family's 1533-position model. The record is from RNAcentral.